AUGUUCCCUGUAUCUCUACAACUGCUGUUGCUGGCGGCUGCAUCCUGUGUAAAAUGUGUUGACUUCACUCAGCCAGGCUCAAUGGUCAUAAAACCAGGAGAGUCUUUGACAAUAACCUGUAAAGUAUCUGGGUAUUCUGUUACUGAUGACAACUAUGCCACAGCCUGGAUCAGACAACCAUCAGGGAAAAGUCUGGAGUGGAUUACUCACAUAUGGGGAGGUGGCACUAUCAGACAGAAAGAUUCUCUGAAAAACAAGUUCAGCAUUUCAAAGGAUGCCUCUAACAGCACAGUGUCUUUACGUGGGCAGAAUCUACAGCCUGAGGACACAGCUGUUUAUUACUGUGCUCGAGGACCACUGUGUUUCAAACCAGUGACAAUAAUGUACAAAAUCCCUUAA
Molecule: non-coding RNA, 399 nt
Organism: Chanos chanos (milkfish)
Lineage: Eukaryota; Metazoa; Chordata; Actinopteri; Gonorynchiformes; Chanidae
Source: the annotation of a RefSeq genome assembly